UUGAACGCUGGCGGCAUGCCUUACACAUGCAAGUCGAACGGUAACAGGUCUUCGGAUGCUGACGAGUGGCGAACGGGUGAGUAAUACAUCGGAACGUGCCCGAUCGUGGGGGAUAACGCAGCGAAAGCUGUGCUAAUACCGCAUACGACCUGAGGGUGAAAGCGGGGGACCUGCAAGGGCCUCGCGCGAUGGGAGCGGCCGAUAUCGGAUUAGCUAGUUGGUGAGGUAAAGGCUCACCAAGGCGACGAUCCGUAGCGGGUCUGAGAGGACGACCCGCCACACUGGAACUGAGACACGGUCCAGACUCCUACGGGAGGCAGCAGUGGGGAAUUUUGGACAAUGGGGGAAACCCUGAUCCAGCCAUUCCGCGUGAGUGAAGAAGGCCUUCGGGUUGUAAAGCUCUUUCAGCAGGAACGAAACGGUAGGCUUUAAUACAGUCUGCUAAUGACGGUACCUGCAGAAGAAGCACCGGCUAACUACGU
RNAcentral lists this ribosomal RNA (482 nucleotides) under uncultured bacterium. Its description in RNAcentral is "bacterial SSU rRNA". It matches the Rfam family "Bacterial small subunit ribosomal RNA", at positions 30 to 506 of the family's 1533-position model. The record is from RNAcentral.